GGUUGCGAUCAUACCAGCACUAAUGCUCCGGAUCCCAUCAGAACUCCGCAGUUAAGCGUGCUUGGGCGAGAGUAGUACUAGGAUGGGUGACCCCCUGGGAAGUCCUCGUGUUGCAACCC
This 119-nucleotide ribosomal RNA is filed under the name Helianthus annuus (common sunflower). Lineage: Eukaryota; Viridiplantae; Streptophyta; Magnoliopsida; Asterales; Asteraceae. The record is from RNAcentral.